CCUACGGGAGGCAGCAGUAGGGAAUUUUCGUCAAUGGGCGCAAGCCUGAACGAGCAAUGCCGCGUGAACGAGGAAGGUCUUCGGAUCGUAAAGUUCUGUUGAAGUGGAAAAAGAGCGGAGAGAGGAAAUGGUCUCCGAUUGAUAUUACUCUUCGAGGACGUCAAGGCAAACUACGUGCCGGCAGCCGCGGUAAUACGUCGGUGGCGAGGGUUAUCCGGAUUGGUUGGGAGUAAAGGGUGGGUAGGCGUCCUGCAAAGUGUGGAGUGAAAGGUACCGGCUCAACCUGUACAGGCUCUUGAAACUGGCGGGCUAGAGAGCAGGAGAGGUCGGUGGAACUCGAGGUGUAGCGGUAAAAUGCGUAGAUAUAUGGAAGAACACCAGUGGCGAAGGCGGCCGCCUGGCCUGUUACUGACGCUGAGGCACGAAAGCGUGGGGAGCAAAUAGGAUUAGAUACCCCGGUAGUC
RNAcentral lists this ribosomal RNA (464 nucleotides) under uncultured bacterium. RNAcentral's name for it is "partial 16S ribosomal RNA". It matches the Rfam family "Bacterial small subunit ribosomal RNA", at positions 338 to 795 of the family's 1533-position model. The record is from RNAcentral.